GGUAUUAUUGGUAAACCUAGAAACAGAAGAUUAGUCGUUUCCGGCAAUGUUACGCCCGAUGAAAUGAUAGAUGAUUUCGGCGUCGAAGCGCCAGAUAGAGAAACAACGUUUGGUUUGGGCUGAGAUGCCAGAUAGUCUUGACUUUUUAGAUGAUGUUUCACUAGGAGUCUCUGGCCCUUUUAGUAGAUUUUUACUUGUAGAUUCCUGCCUAGUGAGGGGUCUUUAAGAGCUCCGGCAGCGUAGCGCCAGGAGUAAAGGGCCUCUCUGGCGGGCAAGCGCCAAGUGAAGGUGGCCGUUCCGGCGACGUAGCGCCAGGAGCUGGUAAUUGUGCCGGUAGCGUAGCGCCAGGAAUUGGUAAUUUUUCCGGCGGUAUAACGUCGGGGACAGCUACCUUCUCCGGCGGGCGUGCACCAGGAGUUUCGGGCUGUCUUAAGCUAAGUCUACUUUGGUCGUAUCGUAGAAUCGUAGCAUCGUAGAAUCGUUGCAAUAGCUAGUCUAUAAAGAUCGUAUCUCGUAUCGUAGCAUCGCAAGUGUCGUUAAGCGUCGUGCGAUUUGUCGUAAUUGGUCGUCACUGACUGUGUAUAAGUUUAACCAAAUCCAAACUUCUACGUUCUUGCGACAGACUGUGCGCUCAUUGGCUGAAUCCUCUUUUUAUAAACUUGGGUUGACUUAACUAUCUAUGUACAUAAAGUUUUAUUUAAUGACUUAUCGACCAAUCAGCGUUAAGAAUGAUGGUAGCAGUAAAAACAGUAUAUUUCUCUGUUUCUUUGAAAAUUGAAAUAAUUACAGUGCGAAAAUGGAUGAAAUCACAGUGCGAAAAUAUAUGCUUUUAAUGAUGAGCAUGAUUAUUAUUUCUGUUUAUUUUAAAACAUCGACAUCAUGCGACUUGUCGGAGAUGGUGGAUCAGACCACUAAACAAGUGUUGUAAUGUAAAGGGAUUCCAUUUGUCAUUAUUUCAUGAAUUAAAGACUACAGACCACGAAGAAUUUUUUUCGUAUACAAGGAUGUUACCUCAUCAAUUUAAUGAUUUACUUAGACAAAUUAAGCCAUUUCUUCUUCUUGGUGGUUUGCGACAUCCUUUACCUUCAGAAUUGAAACUUGCAUUGACUAUUGGCUUUUUAGCACAUGGUGACAGUGCACAUUCUAAAUAUUGGGAAUAUAGAAUUGAUCGAUCCAUUGUGUACAAAGUUAUUCGAGAAGUGUGUGAAACAAUAUGGAAAGCUUUUCAACCUGCAGUACUUCCACAAUCAGAUCGAUUUAUUUGGAAACAAACAGUUGAAGGUUUUUUCAAUAAAUGGCAGUUUCCAAAUUGCAUCGGUGCACUUGAUGGGAAGCACAUUUGCAUAAAAGCACCAUCAAAUUCUGGAUCAAAAUAUUGUUAAAAAAAAUUCUUCAGCAUUGUUCUAAUGGCAAUAUGUGACUACAAAUAUCGUUUCCUUUGAGUGGAUAUUGGUCAAUUUGGAUCUAUUAGUAAUGGUGGAGUGUGGAGUGAGAGUGAGCUUGGGAGAUGUAUGGGACAAGGAACUUUUGAUGCACCACUGCCAUGUGAAUUGCCUGGUACAAAUAUCAAAACUAUGUCCUGGUUGCUGAUGAAGCCUUUCCAUUAAAUAUGAACAUUUUAAAACCAUAUUCUAAAAAAUUUCUUGCUGGUAAAAAUGUUGAUAAUGCUCCAGUAUUUAAUUAUCGUCUGUCAAGAGCACGAAGGAUCAUUGAAAAUACAUUUGGUAUAUUGGCAGCUAGAUGGCAAAUUCUUCAGAAAGACUGUAAUUCAUCCUGAAAAUGUGGAUCACAUAAUUAAUGCUUUAGUUUGCUUACAUAAUUUUAUUAUGAAUGACGAAGAACAGAGACCUGAUGCUACAAAAUGGUAUUGUCCCUCUAACUUUGUAGAUAAAGAUAAUGAAAACCAUGAAAUUAUGGAAGGCGCCUGGCGAGAGCUGAUUGACAACUUAGCACUAUAUGAAGAUCUUGUUAAUAUGAAAGGAAACAGUGGCACAAAUGCUGCAAAAGCUUAGAGAAAUGUAUUUCGCGAAUAUUUAGUAUCAAAAGUUGGAUGCAACCAAACUUCAUGGCAAUUUUAAUUGGCAUUAAGAGAAUGUUAUAUUAA
This is an RNA transcript of Nylanderia fulva, 2104 nucleotides long. RefSeq lists it as uncharacterized. The record is from RefSeq and is a predicted model, not a curated record. NCBI's taxonomy places the organism in Eukaryota, Metazoa, Arthropoda, Insecta, Hymenoptera, Formicidae.